RNAcentral lists this ribosomal RNA (712 nucleotides) under Arthrobacter sp. PF106. RNAcentral describes it as "bacterial SSU rRNA". It matches the Rfam family "Bacterial small subunit ribosomal RNA", at positions 91 to 817 of the family's 1533-position model. Lineage: Bacteria; Bacillati; Actinomycetota; Actinomycetes; Micrococcales; Micrococcaceae. The record is from RNAcentral.
AUUAGUGGCGAACGGGUGAGUAACACGUGAGUAACCUGCCCCUGACUCUGGGAUAACCCUGGGAAACUGGGUCUAAUACUGGAUAUGCACCGUANACCGCANNGUUUUUGGUGGAAAGAAUUUUGGUCAGGGAUGGACUCGCGGCCUAUCAGCUUGUUGGUGAGGUAAUGGCUCACCGAGGCGACCACGGGUAGCCGGCCUGANAGGGUGACCGGCCACACUGGGACUGAGACACGGCCCAGACUCCUACGGGAGGCAGCAGUGGGGAAUAUUGCACAAUGGGCGAAAGCCUGAUGCAGCGACGCCNCGUGAGGGAUGACGGCCUUCGGGUUGUAAACCUCUUUCAGUAGGGAAGAAGCGAAAGUGACGGUACCUGCAGAAGAAGCGCCGGCUAACUACGUGCCAGCAGCCGCGGUAAUACGUAGGGCGCAAGCGUUAUCCGGAAUUAUUGGGCGUAAAGAGCUCGUAGGCGGUUUGUCGCGUCUGCCGUGAAAGUCCGAGGCUCAACUUCGGAUCUGCGGUGGGUACGGGCAGACUAGAGUGAUGUAGGGGAGACUGGAAUUCCUGGUGUAGCGGUGAAAUGCGCAGAUAUCAGGAGGAACACCGAUGGCGAAGGCAGGUCUCUGGGCAUCUACUGACGCUGAGGAGCGAAAGCAUGGGGAGCGAACAGGAUUAGAUACCCUGGUAGUCCAUGCCGUAAACGUUGGGCACU